This is a non-coding RNA of Paramuricea clavata, 230 nucleotides long. The record is from the annotation of a GenBank genome assembly. Lineage: Eukaryota; Metazoa; Cnidaria; Anthozoa; Malacalcyonacea; Plexauridae.
CACUAAUGCCUUUAGCUUUGUUACGCCGUGGUACCAUUGAAAAGCUUUCAGAAAUUAUUGGGGGGCGGUGGGGGUUGGGGGAUUGCCUGUUGUCUCCGGUCACUAACGGCUAGUUACACAUUCAAAAUUUACGUGAACACACAGGCAUGCAGUUAAUAAAGAUGUAGAACUAGAAGAAGUAUAUCUUAUCUGUCCGACUCAGAGCAAUGCUCUCUAGUCCUUUCGAAUAG